GUACGUGUAGCUCAAUUGGAUAGAGCGCAUGGCUACGGACCAUGAGGCUACGGGUUCAAGUCCUGUCACGUACA
Molecule: transfer RNA, 74 nt
Filed under: Clostridiales bacterium
Lineage: Bacteria; Bacillati; Bacillota; Clostridia; Eubacteriales
Description: tRNA-Arg
Rfam family: tRNA
About the family: Transfer RNA (tRNA) molecules are approximately 80 nucleotides in length.
Source: RNAcentral